GGCGACCUACGGGACGCAGCAGUAGGGAAUAUUGCUCAAUGGGGGAAACCCUGAAGCAGCAACGCCGCGUGGAGGAUGAAGGUGUUCGGAUUGUAAAUUCCUUUUGUUAGAGAAGAUAAUGACGGUAUCUAACGAAUAAGCACCGGCUAACUCCGUGCCAGCAGCCGCGGUAAUACGGAGGGUGCAAGCGUUACUCGGAAUCACUGGGCGUAAAGAGCGCGUAGGCGGGAUAG
This 233-nucleotide ribosomal RNA is filed under the name uncultured bacterium. Its description in RNAcentral is "partial 16S ribosomal RNA". It matches the Rfam family "Bacterial small subunit ribosomal RNA", at positions 333 to 583 of the family's 1533-position model. The record is from RNAcentral.